GACGAACGCUGGCGGCGUGCUUAACACAUGCAAGUCGAACGGAAAGGCCCUGCUUUUGUUGGGUGCUCGAGUGGCGAACGGGUGAGUAACACGUGAGUAACCUGCCCUUGACUUUGGGAUAACUUCAGGAAACUGGGGCUAAUACCGGAUAGGAGCUCCUGCUGCAUGGUGGGGGUUGGAAAGUUUCGGCGGUUGGGGAUGGACUCGCGGCUUAUCAGCUUGUUGGUGGGGUAGUGGCUUACCAAGGCUUUGACGGGUAGCCGGCCUGAGAGGGGGACCGGCCACAUUGGGACUGAGAUACGGCCCAGACUCCUACGUGAGGCAGCAGUGGGGAAUAUUGCACAAUGGGCGGAAGCCUGAUGCAGCAACGCCGCGUGCGGGAUGACGGCCUUCGGGUUGUAAACCGCUUUCGCCUGUGACGAAGCGGGAGUGACGGUAAUGGGUAAAGAAGCACCGGCUAACUACGUG
Molecule: ribosomal RNA, 468 nt
Filed under: uncultured bacterium
Lineage: Bacteria
Description: partial 16S ribosomal RNA
Rfam family: Bacterial small subunit ribosomal RNA
Source: RNAcentral